GGCUGGCUGGAGGCAGAGAGGGCGAGCCAGGGCGGGGCUUGGCCUGACAGGCCCGAGCGGACCCGCCCCUUCGCGGUUGCCCCAGGAAAGAGCCUGAUUUGUUUGUUUGUUUGCUCAUAGCUUUUCCUUCUCCCAACUCCUCGCUCAUCCAGAAAUAGAGGUUAUCGCCAUGCCUCUUCUUCAUGCCUCCAGAUCCUUCAGCUCUGACGUUGGAUGGCAGCAACUAACAGCAGAGUCACUGAGAGGGAUGAGAUAGCUGAAUGCUUGGUACAUGAAACAAUGAAGAAGACCAUUGUCUUCUUGGUACAUGAAACAAUGAAGAAGACAAGUGUCCCAGUGGACAUUGCUGAUGAAAGAGGGUGGAGAUUGUCUACAGCGUGGAGUCUCCCAUGUGGCCAGUGGAAGUCCUCUGCCCAGUCAGACUUUGUGCGACAGAGGGAAGAAGAAGCAGCUCUAUAA
RNAcentral lists this long non-coding RNA (459 nucleotides) under Cricetulus griseus (Chinese hamster). Its description in RNAcentral is "lncRNA (ENSCGRG00000026540.1)". Lineage: Eukaryota; Metazoa; Chordata; Mammalia; Rodentia; Cricetidae. The record is from RNAcentral.